Molecule: long non-coding RNA, 3354 nt
Organism: Cydia splendana
Lineage: Eukaryota; Metazoa; Arthropoda; Insecta; Lepidoptera; Tortricidae
Exons: 2
Source: RefSeq, a predicted model, not a curated record
UCGCCGUAUUCCUUGAAAGGGGUUAUUCUUUGGGUCAUUUGCAAUGAUUUAAGUCCAGUCAACCAGGGGUCAAAACUCAUUGGUUUUCAAGUUAUUUGAGUUUUUAGUUUUUUGUUUAAAAAACCUGCCUGUCGACUAAAAAGUGGUAAUUGUGAGAAAACUACUCAAAUUUGGAAUUAAAAAAAGCAUUCAUCUAAUAGCCAAUAAACUACUGAUUACGUGAAAUAAAAAAAGAUUGCCAAAACUUUCCAAAAUUAAAAAAAAAAAAGGAUUUGAAGUCACAAUUUUUUGUAAUUGUCCCAAGACUUUGUAACAUUUUAAGGCAUUACUUAAUUUCUCUUAAAGUUUUUAAAAUAAUAAUAAUAGUUAAUAGCAGAGCAGGCGGAAGACUUGACCUACCGCCUGCACUGCUAUUAUUAUUAUAAUGUUACAAAGUCUUGGGAAAAUUACAAAAAAUUGUUACUUCAAAUCCUUUUUUUUGGCAAGUUUUGGCAAUCUUUUUUUAUUUCACGUAAUCAGUAGUUUACUGGCUAUUAGAUGAAUGCUUUUUUUAAUUCCAAAUUUGAGUAGUUUUUUCACAAUUACCACUUUUUAGUCGAAAGGCGGGUUUUUUAAACUAAAAACUCAAAUAACUUGAAAACCAAUGAGUUUUGACCCCUGGUUGACUGGACUUAAAUCAUUGCAAAUGACCCAUAGAAUAACCCCUUUCAAGGAAUACGGCGAAUUUCCAAUCACCCUGUACAAUAGUAACGAAUUGACAAGCAAUGACGAGGACAAACUAGCUUUUCCGAUCACAAUCCACACAUUAUUUCAAAAUAAUUUAAAGGACCUAUAAACGUAAUGAAAAGAAGUACACAUGAACGCAAUCUGAUUAAUUUAAUUAUCAAACGCUCAUUGUUGCAUAAUGAAAUCCUGCGUCGAAUCACGAUAUAGCACAUAUUUGCGCUGUACCACCGAUAGCGGCCGACAAAACAAAACCAGACUCUGGAAUUAUCGACUAUUUUAAAAGCUAUUUAUUUGCAUACAGUCAAUUUUUCAUCACACUUGCUCGCAAAUUGUUGAAGAGGCUAGAAAGUGACCAAUAAAUGGACGAGUUAGUUUGAGCCUUCGAAGAUACAAGUCUACGUAUCUAUUACACUUUCGGCGGAGUCAUUAGAAUAAAGUGCUAUUUUACAACUAAUCGUAAAUCGCUAAUCGUUUUACGAAAGUCGACACUUUCAUAUUCUUACUUAUCUUAAAUCAAAAUUCAAAACGGCCAACCUUGCAGUCGUGUUCAUUUCUGUACCUAUGCAUUACCAAUACAGAAAUUGCCACUUUACAACUAUUUUCACUUGAAUUAUGCAUUUUAACAACUAAUCUCAUAAUUGGAUCGUCUCAAAAAAUUACAUACUUACAUCAUGCGAACCUGCCGCCUAUUUGUAUUUAUUUUCUAACUAUACUUUAACGCUUAAACGCGCUUUAUAAGACGAGUUUCAGGACCUAUAAACAACCUUUCAUAUUAGAAUGAAAAGCACUACCAUAAAUUAUCUAAUAAACUUCGUGCGUUGAGUUGGUCAAGUCAAGUGCCAACCAAUCAGUGAGUUGAAAGUAAAAGUGUAGUACAAUAUGCUUAUAGUACAACUAAAACAUUGUUGGACUGUUUGGUUCAAGGGGCCCCGAAUAAAGACGACACACGUUUGCGCUAAGACAACGAAACGGUCUCUCUCUAUCACUCUUAUGCGAUACCGAACGAUCGUCAUCUUCGCUACGGGCGCAGCUAAACGCUCUUUCUAUAGUCAAGAUUUAGACUAUCUUAUCUAUUGCUACAUUUCCGAGCAGGGGCGUGAAAAACAUGUUAUUCCACAGGGAAAUAAUGAAAUUUUGCAGCAACUUUGACGAGUGGAUUUUUUUGUUAAAAAAGUUAACUGUGUCCUCGUGAGGCCGAAGCCAUUUUAUGCUGUUUUGAAUUUGGAACUUUCUUUUAUUUCUAAGAGUUCAAAACUCGAAUUUAAUUUGUACCUGUACAAGUACGCCGACGCGUACUGUACAGUCAACUUUAAUUUCCGACCCAUUUUGUACCUUGUCACAGUGACAAAACAAUGAGGUCUCUAGCGACUUUCAUAUUAACACCGAAAAAAAUAUUUUUCUACAAUACUACCAGGACGCAUAUAGUAGGUAGUUAAAAAUAUAGUAACACCUACUAAAACCCGGUAGUAAUAACAAAAAAUGUUGUAUCGUGUAAAACUUGUUUUUUAAACAUCACUGUUUAAUUCUAGUUAAAUGAAAUUUAGUACUGCUUACAAUUUCGUUAUAUAUGUAAAGAUGCAAGUGUUGUAAAUAUUAAACGUUUAGACCUACAGCAGGCGUGGCUCACUCCGCGAUUUCGUCGCUUUGCUACAGGUACCUAAAAGUACAUCAGUUCGGCCCCAAUUUUGGGGUUUGCCAUAAGCCGCGCGUGGCGCUGUCGCCACCUAGCGACCAUAUCUGUGCUGAUCGUAACAGACGCGUUUUGUUAGAGAGUGAGUCUUCUGUACCUAGUACUAUUAUUUAUUCUGUGCCUAUAGACAAUUUAGUACAGCUAACCAGAUUCUGGUUACCAGUACCAGGUUUUUUUUCAGUGAAUUGUCACUGUGACAGGGUACGAAAUGGGUCGGAAAUUUAAUUUUUUGACUGUACAUUUAAGUCCCCACUGAGUGCAUUACUAAUAGAAGUUAUUCAAAACAUAUUUUAUCUUGAAUAUGUACAUAAUCAGAAAACGUAAAUUGACAGUAGCGGACGUGUAUUUCAUGAGAUUAGAUAGUUGUCGUUUACUAUCUUUUAUGACUAAAUUAUUGUUAUUUACGCGAUUUUAUGUUUUCUUAUUUAUUUUUAUAUAAAUAGGUAGGUGGGUAGGUGGUCACAUGGCGUAUAAAGUCUUUGCCUUAAUACCUACAGCCUACGCUACGUGCAAAAAAUGAGGAAUCAAUAAAUUUUCUUGUAAUUAACUUUUAUUUUUGCGUACAAAUGUGAGUAAAGAUGUAGUGCAUAAUUGUUUUCCAUCGUAUUUUCUCGAAAACGUCCGUAUGUGUCAUGUUAUUUCAGUCAACCUCAGUACUUUUUGUACCGAGACUGACUGAAAUAGCAAGACACGUUCUUACGUUUCCGUGAAAAUACGAUGGAAAAUAAUUAUGCACUACAUCUAUAUGUAUUUACUUGCAAGUGUGAUGAACUGAUGAAAAACAUUGUACAUAGCUCGUGUCGUGAAUUAUUUUAUUAGACUCUAGUUUGUAAUAAUACUCUCACCCUCGACGUUGCACGAUGUAUACUAAUUUCAACGUUAAGAAAAAAAAAAUUGUUGGAAAUUUUGGUUUUUAAUAUUAUCUACAUACAAGUCGA